Molecule: transfer RNA, 72 nt
Filed under: Ktedonobacter sp.
Lineage: Bacteria; Bacillati; Chloroflexota; Ktedonobacteria; Ktedonobacterales; Ktedonobacteraceae
Description: tRNA-Thr
Rfam family: tRNA
About the family: Transfer RNA (tRNA) molecules are approximately 80 nucleotides in length. Their secondary structure includes four short double-helical elements and three loops (D, anti-codon, and T loops). Further hydrogen bonds mediate the characteristic L-shaped molecular structure. tRNAs have two regions of fundamental functional importance: the anti-codon, which is responsible for specific mRNA codon recognition, and the 3' end, to which the tRNAs corresponding amino acid is attached (by aminoacyl-tRNA synthetases). tRNAs cope with the degeneracy of the genetic code in two manners: having more than one tRNA (with a specific anti-codon) for a particular amino acid; and 'wobble' base-pairing, i.e. permitting non-standard base-pairing at the 3rd anti-codon position.
Source: RNAcentral
GCCGGUGUAGCUCAGUGGUAGAGCUUCCGACUUGUAAUCGGAAGGUCAAGGGUUCAAGUCCCUUCACCGGCU